UACGGAGGAUGCGAGCGUUAUCCGGAUUUAUUGGGUUUAAAGGGUACGUAGGCGGAUCGUUAAGUCAGUGGUCAAAUUGAGGGGCUCAACCCCUUCCCGCCAUUGAAACUGGCGAUCUUGAGUGGAAGAGAAGUAUGCGGAAUGCGUGGUGUAGCGGUGAAAUGCAUAGAUAUCACGCAGAACCCCGAUUGCGAAGGCAGCAUGCCGGCUUCCUACUGACGCUGAAGCACGAAAGCGUGGGGAUCGAACAGG
This 252-nucleotide ribosomal RNA is filed under the name uncultured bacterium. RNAcentral's name for it is "partial 16S ribosomal RNA". It matches the Rfam family "Bacterial small subunit ribosomal RNA", at positions 524 to 776 of the family's 1533-position model. The record is from RNAcentral.